GAUGAACGCUGGCGGCGUGCCUAAUACAUGCAAGUCGAGCGAACAGACGAGGAGCUUGCUCCUCUGACGUUAGCGGCGGACGGGUGAGUAACACGUGGAUAACCUACCUAUAAGACUGGGAUAACUUCGGGAAACCGGAGCUAAUACCGGAUAAUAUAUUGAACCGCAUGGUUCAAUAGUGAAAGACGGUUUUGCUGUCACUUAUAGAUGGAUCCGCGCCGCAUUAGCUAGUUGGUAAGGUAACGGCUUACCAAGGCGACGAUGCGUAUCCGACCUGAGAGGGUGAGCGGCCACACUGGAACGGAGACCCGGUCCAGACUCCUACGGGAGGCAGCAGUAGGGAAUCGUCCGCAAUGGGCGAAAGCCUGACGGAGCAACGCCGCGGGAGUGAUGAAGGUCUUCGGAUCGUAAAACUCUGUUAUUAGGGAAGAACAAAUGUGUAAGUAACUAUGCGCGUCUUGACGGUACCUAAUCAGAAAGCCACGGCUAACUACGUG
RNAcentral lists this ribosomal RNA (497 nucleotides) under uncultured bacterium. RNAcentral's name for it is "partial 16S ribosomal RNA". It matches the Rfam family "Bacterial small subunit ribosomal RNA", at positions 28 to 507 of the family's 1533-position model. The record is from RNAcentral.